This 405-nucleotide unclassified non-coding RNA is filed under the name soil metagenome. RNAcentral's name for it is "partial contains 5.8S ribosomal RNA, internal transcribed spacer 2, and large subunit ribosomal RNA". The stretch from base 1 to 121 matches the Rfam family "5.8S ribosomal RNA", at positions 35 to 154 of the family's 154-position model. The record is from RNAcentral.
GAUGAAGAACGUAGCGAAAUGCGAUAAGUAAUGUGAAUUGCAGAAUUCAGUGAAUCAUCGAAUCUUUGAACGCACCUUGCGCCCUUUGGACAUUCCGAAGGGCAUGCCUGUUUGAGUAUCAUGAACACCUCAACUCUCACGGCUUGUCCGUGAUGAGCUUGGACUUUGGGGGUCUUGCCGGCCUGUGGUCGGCUCCUCUCAAAUGGAUCAGCUUGCCAGUGUUUGGUGGCAUCACAGGUGUGAUAACUAUCUGCGCUUGUGGUUUUCCAUCAGAUAACCUUCAGUGAUAUGAAGGUUCGCUGGAGCUCACAAAUGUCUCUCCUUAGUGAGGACAGCUCUUUGAAUGUUUGAUCUCAAAUCAGGUAGGACUACCCGCUGAACUUAAGCAUAUCAAUAAGCGGAGGA